RNAcentral lists this long non-coding RNA (415 nucleotides) under Cucumis sativus (cucumber). RNAcentral describes it as "long non-coding RNA (CSAT_LNC002029)". The record is from RNAcentral. Lineage: Eukaryota; Viridiplantae; Streptophyta; Magnoliopsida; Cucurbitales; Cucurbitaceae.
UGUUCUUUCACAAUCAAAUCAAGCAGAGCCCCUCUACAAUUUUCUCUUUCCUUCACAUUUUCCUCGUUGAGGCAGCUUGACUCUUCAAGUGAGUCAAAAGAGUUAAUCUUUUGACUCACAUUUUCCUCGUUGAGGCAGCUUGACUCUUCAAGUGAGUCAAAAGAGUUAAUCUUAUCAAUCAGCACCUGUUUUUGGGAGAAAAUGUUACCAAAAGUCUCCUUAUUCCAACUUUUUAGGAUGGCUUUCAGACCUUUUAGCUUUUCCAUGAAAGAGAAUAUAGGCCAGCCAUCAACCUCCAAACUGCCCCACCAGUUCUCAACAUUUUUAAAGAAAAGAUGAUGAUCCAGCCAAGCAUUUUCAAAUCUAAAAGGUGUGGGACCCCAGGAAUGAGCCCCCAUUUUUAAAAUUAUCGGAA